Molecule: long non-coding RNA, 1473 nt
Organism: Mirounga angustirostris (Northern elephant seal)
Lineage: Eukaryota; Metazoa; Chordata; Mammalia; Carnivora; Phocidae
Exons: 2
Source: RefSeq, a predicted model, not a curated record
CUAUCCUUUUCAGAUUUAAGUAGUCCAGUUCUAUCUAAAAAAGAAAAAAAAAAAAUGAAAUUCUGUCCUCCAUGCAGUUGAAAGCUCUGCCUCUCCCCAGGAGGAGCCUGAGUGAGGGCUUCCAGACCAGUGUUGGAGCAGGGACACGACUUCCGUUCUUAAAGUUUUUUCUUUAUGUCAACUCCUCCCCUAUUUGCUCUUCUGCUUCAGGCUCCUCUGGCUGGAGAGGAGAAGACAAAAUAUUGCUUUCCUGGCUCUGCUUAUAAAUCUUGACUGUUCAUUUCAUGGUCUCUGCCAGGCAGCUCUCUCUCAUGGGGGGUUUUUGUGGGUUCUUAAGGAGCACUCUCCACUCUCAGUCUCUUGCAUCCAUGCUGCAGACCCCUAUCUUGGAACAUAUAGAUAUUCCUCAGCUCCUGUCCAGGGAUUUCCUCUGGAGUCCUCUCAUGCCAGCAAGAAACCCUCAAGGACAGGAUCCUUUCAUAAAGGACCUAUCCCAGUUCUCUUUGGCAGUGUCUACUUGGCUUUCAGGGAAAUACAUAUGCUUGUUCUACCAAACUCUGGAAAUGCAUAUCAUUCACACAGCUUUUUUCUCUCCUUGUUUUCAGGCAAGAAUUAUACACUGGUCUUCAUGUUUCCCAUAUUCCACGGGACAUAUGCCAAAUUUUCCAAAGGCCUCUUUCAUUGCAUAUGUUCAUCGUCCUAUGGGGAUGUCUUAGUCCGUUCAGCCUGCUAUAACAAAACACCAUGAAUUAGUGGCUUAUAAGCAACAGGAAGCCUUUCCAUUAUUACUGAUGACCGACACAAGCAGAAAAAUGGCCACGAUUGUACAACAUCCAAAAUAUAUUUGCAGUAAAUUCUGGAAGAUUUGGCCUCAUCCAUCAAUUGAAUAGGUUGUCCUAAAUACACAAGAUCAUUCAACUCACAGCAUCUGUGUAGCAGUUGACAAGAUAUCAUUGUUCAGUGGGACAUUUAAACCUUGUCCUUCAGCAAAGUGAAAUGAGAGAAAUGUUCUCCUCAAAAGUCAAAAUCUAAAAAGCAAAAUUUGACUGUCAAAUGGUCAAGUGUGUUAAAGGUGAAAAAUAAAGCUGCUGAAACACUUAGGUCUUUUUUUAGACUCUUGUUUCCCUGGCACGUGGAAUCUUUCUGAGACAGGGCUCAUUUUCAGUCACUGUUUAUAAUUCUUUGCUCACCUACACAUAAGCUCUGAACUAAUAACAUUAAGGUCAUGUUAACAAAUUUAUACAGGUUUCUAAUCACUGUGUGGUUGGUUAUUAGUUUGGGGUAUAUUUUAAUGACUAGAUCUUUAAACCUUGUGUUGCUUUUUACCAGUUCCGAGCUCAGAGAUAUGUGUUACAGAAUAAAUGGGAAUUUAGAAUGAAAGAUCAAUAUGAACUUAAUUUAAUUCAAUGCUGAAAAUAUUACUUUUAUUAAUUAUUCUUUUUCUAGGAUUUAGCCAACCCACACCUAUAAUAA